GUGUGUGUGUGUGUGUGUGUGUUAAAGUUACAGAGUAGGAUAGAUAGAUAUUCUAUCUAUCCUACUCUGUAACUUUAACACACACAUCUACCA
Non-coding RNA from Pelobates cultripes (western spadefoot toad), 93 nucleotides. Lineage: Eukaryota; Metazoa; Chordata; Amphibia; Anura; Pelobatidae. The record is from the annotation of a GenBank genome assembly.